This is a non-coding RNA of Nicotiana tabacum (common tobacco), 547 nucleotides long. NCBI's taxonomy places the organism in Eukaryota, Viridiplantae, Streptophyta, Magnoliopsida, Solanales, Solanaceae. The record is from RefSeq and is a predicted model, not a curated record.
UCAAUUUGAUUUAAUGAUUUCUGUUUAUGUGCAUAUUAUGUGUUUGUGAAAAUUCGUCGAUUUACUGAUUACCAGCGAUGUCUAUUUUGAAAUGGCCGUUGUGUAUGAGCCGACGCUAUAUGUAUAUUUCCGUUUCUGCCUCAGAAAAUUUUCCAUUGGCUCUUUAAAAAGCUGCUUGAAUCAGAUAUGGAGAUGAUAUAUUGCCUGUAGGAACUACGUAGCUGCGGCAUCCAGUACAGGGCUGCUCGGUUACCAAUCUUGCCAUCCUCUGGAGUUGAUACAUUGCCCGUAGGAAUUAUGUAGCUGCUAGAUAGAUCUAAAGGUGGAGUAAAAAUGGAAGACGGAGGCGGUGAUGAAGAUCUUUUCCUGCAUCUCUAGGAAUGUUACUUAAGAGAAUUUUGAAUUAUUGAUUGUUGUAGAUGCAUGUGACGGUUUCUAGGAAUGUUUCUUAUCAAGACAUUUUAAAACUUUUAACUCUUGAAAUAUCAAAUGUAUGUACUUGGUAACAUUUCAUCACUAUCUAUGGAUUUAUUAUCUUGUUGGACAA